Molecule: ribosomal RNA, 503 nt
Filed under: uncultured bacterium
Lineage: Bacteria
Description: bacterial SSU rRNA
Rfam family: Bacterial small subunit ribosomal RNA
Source: RNAcentral
AUUGAACGCUGGCGGCAUGCUUUACACAUGCAAGUCGAACGGUAACGCGGGGGCAACCCUGGCGACGAGUGGCGAACGGGUGAGUAAUACAUCGGAACGUGCCCAGUAGUGGGGGAUAGCUCGGCGAAAGCCGGAUUAAUACCGCAUACGACCUACGGGUGAAAGCGGGGGAUCGCAAGACCUCGCGCUAUUGGAGCGGCCGAUGGCAGAUUAGCUUGUUGGUGGGGUAAAAGCCUACCAAGGCGACGAUCUGUAGCUGGUCUGAGAGGACGACCAGCCACACUGGGACUGAGACACGGCCCAGACUCCUACGGGAGGCAGCAGUGGGGAAUUUUGGACAAUGGGCGAAAGCCUGAUCCAGCAAUGCCGCGUGUGUGAUGAAGGCCUUCGGGUUGUAAAGCACUUUUAGUGGGAACGAAACGGUCCGGGCUAAUACCCUGGACUAAUGACGGUACCCGCAGAAUAAGCACCGGCUAACUACGUGCCAGCCGCCGCAGUAAAAC